Long non-coding RNA from Mastomys coucha (southern multimammate mouse), 384 nucleotides. RefSeq lists it as uncharacterized. The transcript is spliced from 2 exons. The record is from RefSeq and is a predicted model, not a curated record. Lineage: Eukaryota; Metazoa; Chordata; Mammalia; Rodentia; Muridae.
GAUACUGCCAACCCCCGAUGACCCCGCCUUACUCUCCGCCUCCUGUUAACAAAAACCUGCGCCGAUAGGCCAAGGGGAGAAGAUGGAAAGGUAGAGUUAGAAGGGGCGGAGCUGCAUGCAACCUAGAGGUCCGAGCCGACGCGUGGCGGUUGCCAGGUGUCUGUGAGCGAGACACUUGCUAGCAGGAGCAGAGAUUUGCGCCCCGCCACUGAAAUAUGCUUGACACAUGAGAACCUAUGCUCAAUGCUCAGCUCCACAAAACGAAAACUGCAACCCAGUCCCAGCCUUGUUCUAAGCACUAUGCCUGGCUCCUGGCUGUAUGGAAAGUCACCAUGGGAGAUAUCCUUGGAGGAACCCUGUAAAUAAAACAUUUGAGAAACUGCA